RNAcentral lists this ribosomal RNA (318 nucleotides) under Peloriolus sp. South Africa. RNAcentral's name for it is "partial small subunit ribosomal RNA". The record is from RNAcentral. Lineage: Eukaryota; Metazoa; Arthropoda; Insecta; Coleoptera; Elmidae.
AUUAGUAUUAGUUAUUUUCUUGAAAAUUAAAGAUUUUGGCGGUAUUUUAGUCUAUUCAGAGGAACCUGUUCUGUAAUUGAUAGUCCACGAUUUACUUUACUUGAUUAAUUUGUAUAUCGUCGUUAUUUGAAUAUUUUACAAGAAUAAUAAUUUUCAACUUUUUUUAUAAAAAUAGAAGUCAGAUCAAGGUGCAGUUUAUGUUUAAGAAGAAAUGGGUUACAAUAAAUUUAUUUAGACAGUUUGGUUAAUGAAAUUUUUCUGAUAAGGUGGGAAAGUAAUAUUUUAAAAUAUUUAAUGUGAUUAUAGCUCUAAAAUAUG